RNAcentral lists this ribosomal RNA (468 nucleotides) under uncultured bacterium. Its description in RNAcentral is "partial 16S ribosomal RNA". It matches the Rfam family "Bacterial small subunit ribosomal RNA", at positions 28 to 507 of the family's 1533-position model. The record is from RNAcentral.
GACGAACGCUGGCGGCGUGCUUAACACAUGCAAGUCGAACGGAAAGGCCCUGCUUUUGUGGGGUGCUCGAGUGGCGAACGGGUGAGUAACACGUGAGUAACCUGCCCUUGACUUUGGGAUAACUUCAGGAAACUGGGGCUAAUACCGGAUAGGAGCUCCUGCUGCAUGGUGGGGGUUGGAAAGUUUCGGCGGUUGGGGAUGGACUCGCGGCUUAUCAGCUUGUUGGUGGGGUAGUGGCUUACCAAGGCUUUGCCGGGUAGCCGGCCUGAGAGGGUGACCGGCCACAUUGGGACUGGGAUACGGCCCAGACUCCUACGGGAGGCAGCAGUGGGGAAUAUUGCACAAUGGGCUGAAGCCUGAUGCAGUAACGCCUCGUGCGGGAUGACGGCCUUCGGGUUGUAAACCGCUUUCGCCUGUGACGAAGCGUGAGUGACGGUAAUGGGUAAAGAAGCACCGGCUAACUACGUG